This 911-nucleotide long non-coding RNA is filed under the name Nicotiana tabacum (common tobacco). Its description in RNAcentral is "long non-coding RNA (NTAB_LNC001317)". The record is from RNAcentral. Lineage: Eukaryota; Viridiplantae; Streptophyta; Magnoliopsida; Solanales; Solanaceae.
GUGGUUCCUGUAGAACCACGAGUGUUAUUUGGAGUUGACAUUUCUUGGAAAUAGAAAAGGCCCAUCCUUUUUGCUGAGAAACAUAAAUUAGUCAGUUGAACUGUAUUUUUAUAUUAUUGUAGAUAUGACACAGACCGAACAUUACUCAAUUAUUGGGCAAUUUGUAUCUUAUCGUAAAAAGGACCCAAUCCUCAAAAAGUUGUUUAGCGACGGAUUGGCUACGGAAUAAUAGUUUCGUUGCCAAAAAAGCCAAAAAAUAGUUAGCAUAUAAUAUAGCGACGAAAUCGAAAAAUCGUUGCUAAAUAUUGGCGCCCUCAAUAUAGCUACAGAUUUAGCGACAAAACCUGAGCGACAAAAUUUAUUUACCUACAACGACGGAAUUAGCAACGAAAUGUCCGUCGCUAUGUUUAAUUUCUUUAUCAAAAUUUUUUUAAGCUCCUUGCUACUGAAAUUUCCGUCGAUAAUGUUAUAUCUAGUAAACAAUAAUAUCAUUAUUAGCGACGGAAAUAAGCCGUAGCUAAUUCCGUUGUUGAAUACCACUUAAUUAUUUAUCCUAGGGCACAAAAUUUGUAAAAGUUCGGUGUCUUCUUCUUCUAACAGGGUAGAACGCUGGGAGCAAAUAUAGUCGGCUGGGAGCAAAAUCAAUGGAAAACGCACUUGAGAGCAAGAACAAGGGCAAAAAUUAGUAGCCAACGUGAAUUUAAGGUGUGUAGAUGGCUUUAAUUUGUUUCUUCUUCUAUUUCUUAUUAAUCAGUAGCUUGAUGGUGGUGCUAAUGACUACGAAUACUAUGUUCAUUACACUGAAUGUGAGUGAACAUUUUCAAAUUAAUUGUUUUCUUUUUAUUUUAUUUGCAUCAAUUUGGAGUAGCUAGGGCUUGGAGCUUUAUCAGAUUUUAAUUGUAAAAGGAGGC